ACUCUUCGGAGGCGUUACACAGGUGCUGCAUGGCCGUCGUCAGCUCGUGUCGUGAGAUGUUUGGUUAAGUCCAGCAACGAGCGCAACCCCUGUUGCCAGUUACCAGCACGUGAAGAUGGGGACUCUGGCGAGACUGCCCAGAUCAACUGGGAGGAAGGUGGGGACGACGUCAGGUCAGUAUGGCCCUUAUGCCCAGGGCUGCACACGUACUACAAUGCCCAGUACAGAGGGGGCCGAAGCCGCGAGGCGGAGGAAAUCCUAAAAACUGGGCCCAGUUCGGACUGUAGGCUGCAACCCGCCUACACGAAGCCGGAAUCGCUAGUAAUGGCGCAUCAGCUACGGCGCCGUGAAUACGUUCCCGGGUCUUGUACACACCGCCCGUCACAUCAUGGAAGCCGGUCGCACCCGAAGUAUCUGAAGCCAACCGCAAGGAGGCAGGGUCCUAAGGUGAGACUGGUAACUGGGAUGAAGUCGUAACAAGGUAGCCGUAGGGGAACCUGCGGC
RNAcentral lists this ribosomal RNA (504 nucleotides) under uncultured bacterium. Its description in RNAcentral is "bacterial SSU rRNA". It matches the Rfam family "Bacterial small subunit ribosomal RNA", at positions 1014 to 1518 of the family's 1533-position model. The record is from RNAcentral.